This 560-nucleotide ribosomal RNA is filed under the name uncultured bacterium. Its description in RNAcentral is "bacterial SSU rRNA". It matches the Rfam family "Bacterial small subunit ribosomal RNA", at positions 338 to 915 of the family's 1533-position model. The record is from RNAcentral.
CCUACGGGAGGCAGCAGUGGGGAAUAUUGGACAAUGGGCGCAAGCCUGAUCCAGCAAUGCCGCGUGAGUGAUGAAGGCCUUAGGGUUGUAAAGCUCUUUUACCCGGGAUGAUAAUGACAGUACCGGGAGAAUAAGCUCCGGCUAACUCCGUGCCAGCAGCCGCGGUAAUACGGAGGGAGCUAGCGUUAUUCGGAAUUACUGGGCGUAAAGCGCACGUAGGCGGCUUUGUAAGUUAGAGGUGAAAGCCUGGAGCUCAACUCCAGAAUUGCCUUUAAGACUGCAUCGCUUGAAUCCAGGAGAGGUGAGUGGAAUUCCGAGUGUAGAGGUGAAAUUCGUAGAUAUUCGGAAGAACACCAGUGGCGAAGGCGGCUCACUGGACUGGUAUUGACGCUGAGGUGCGAAAGCGUGGGGAGCAAACAGGAUUAGAUACCCGUGGUAGUCCACGCCGUAAACGAUGAUAACUAGCUGUCGGGGCUCUUAGAGCUUCGGUGGCGCAGCUAACGCAUUAAGUUAUCCGCCNGGGGAGUACGGCCGCAAGGUUAAACCUUAAGGAAUUGNGG